This is a long non-coding RNA of Magnolia sinica, 579 nucleotides long. RefSeq lists it as uncharacterized. The record is from RefSeq and is a predicted model, not a curated record. Lineage: Eukaryota; Viridiplantae; Streptophyta; Magnoliopsida; Magnoliales; Magnoliaceae. The transcript is spliced from 3 exons.
UUGCCUUGUCUAGUCAGCAACAUGGUGCCUCGUUUCAAAACCAAAGCAGCAACGAUAAUUUGUUCUAGCAAAAUCUAGGCAUAUCCAAUGAUCUCUCAAGUGAUCCCAACCAACAUUCACACAGAUCCUUGAAAAGCUAUACCAUGCCAGCCACGCCAUCAUUGUAAAUGAGUUGGUGAAGCUAGCAUCCAUUCAGCUCUCAUUCAAUGAUUGUGCUUCUGCAAUGGAUACCAUAAAACGGGUAGAUGCAAUAUUUUCACUGUAUUAUGGAUCUCACACGUCGAAGCUAUUUCCAUAUUUGGAAAAUCUCAAAAGAAAAGUUCUAAAGCUCGCUCCAUAAUGAGAAACCUUCUGUUUUAUCUGUUCAGUUGGCUGGCCGCAGAUGUAAUGAAUGUGGACAACCACUUCCUGAAAGUUAUGCGCCCCCUGCAGAUGAACCUUGGACAACUGGAAUUUUCAGUCAAUUGUUGCCAAAACUGCCUUGUCAACUGAAUGUGUCUCAUCUAAUGUUCUGGUACUUGUGUCUCAGUUCUGCUCUUAAUUCAUCUCAGCCAUCAGUUAGCACCACUGAUACAUCUC